GACGAACGCUGGCGGCGUGCCUAAUACAUGCAAGUCGAGCGGACUUGAUGGAGCUUGCUUCAUCAAGUUAGCGGCGGACGGGUGAGUAACACGUGGGCAACCUGUCUGUAAGACUGGGAUAACUCCGGGAAACCGGAGCUAAUACCGGAUAGUAUCUUGAACCGCAUGGUUCAGGUUGGAAAGACGGUUUCGGCUGUCACUUACAGAUGGGCCCGCGGCGCAUUAGCUAGUUGGUGAGGUAAUGGCUCACCAAGGCAACGAUGCGUAGCCGACCUGAGAGGGUGAUCGGCCACACUGUGACUGAGACACGGACCAGACUCCUACGGUAGGCAGCAGUAGGGAAUCUCCCGCAAUGCACGAAAGUCUUACGGAGCAACGCCGCGUGAGUGAUGAAGGUUUUCCAAUCGUAAAGCUCUGUUGUUAGGGAAGUACAAGUGCGAGAGUAACUGCUCGCACCUCGACGGUACCUA
RNAcentral lists this ribosomal RNA (470 nucleotides) under uncultured Bacillus sp. RNAcentral's name for it is "bacterial SSU rRNA". It matches the Rfam family "Bacterial small subunit ribosomal RNA", at positions 28 to 481 of the family's 1533-position model. Lineage: Bacteria; Bacillati; Bacillota; Bacilli; Caryophanales; Bacillaceae. The record is from RNAcentral.